Molecule: non-coding RNA, 1032 nt
Organism: Lolium perenne
Lineage: Eukaryota; Viridiplantae; Streptophyta; Magnoliopsida; Poales; Poaceae
Source: RefSeq, a predicted model, not a curated record
UGACGACUGGGCCAGAGCACAGGCGGACCCUCGAGCGAGAGGCAGCAACGCGCGCUUGUUCGCGUCGUCUUCAUUCGCCUUUCUUUUGGACCGGGUGAAAACCCUAGAUGUCCUCCCGUCCCCAAUCGCUUGCCUCCUCUCCUCCCCCAAUCCCCAGCUCCUCUCCCGUCUUCCAAUCGGCCGCCACCUUCCUUCUCCUCCUCCUCCAAUCCGCGCCAUCUCCUCUUCUCCUUCCCAAUCCAGACGCUGCAGGAGGGAUGAGGGGAGGCAGGCCGCCGCAGCCGACGUGAGCCAGGAGGGAGCGCAGGUGCCACUGCCUCGUAUACCUCGCAUCUAGAGAGCGGGGCGAAGGACAGUUGCCGGGGGGCGCUGCUGCGUGGAGCGCGGGGAGGCCAUGGUAACCGCCGGUCGCGGGCAUCACCGUGCGAAGAGUAUGUGGGCAGGGGCCGCAUCAGCCGCCGCCGCGGGUCGACGCCGCCGUAGCGGCCAUGGAUGGAGUGGUGGCGACCAGGUGUGUGCAAGCUCUGCGGUUCGGAGGCAGUUCGGAGGCAGCGCCUCCCUCCUCUCCUCCUCAUUGGGUGCAGGCCUUUGCACGAGGUGAUUGUAUGUCGGCGAGAGACCAUAUCAAGUAGCGCGAAGGAGAUCUGCUGCCUCUUCUAUGAAUCUUCCCCAGUCAGGGUAAAUUCGUUGUCAACGGUUGUUUAGUCUGUUUGGGAGAUGAUGCUCAUGGUGCCAGGUCUACUCACUCUAUUGACCCAACUGUAUCGGAAUGAGAGCAAGGCAAUGUCAUAAGUAUAUCGCUUUACGGCCUACCGAUCUGCAUCACAUAGCCACAUUGUGUUAUGGCCAGAACACAACCUCUCGUGCCAGUGUCUAAUAGCUUCAGGCUUGAAACUAUCUGAGUUGACAUUUAAAUUGAAGAAGACUCUGGGACAUGGCUGGCAAGGAGCGGAGGCAGCCGUGCCUCCUCCCUCUUCCGUGUCCUGCAACAGCGAUGUCAGGUUGGCCUCCUAGAGCUGCAUAUAGAGCGCC